This 1073-nucleotide long non-coding RNA is filed under the name Anas platyrhynchos platyrhynchos (common mallard). RNAcentral describes it as "lncRNA (ENSAPLG00000026188.1)". The record is from RNAcentral. Lineage: Eukaryota; Metazoa; Chordata; Aves; Anseriformes; Anatidae.
CCCGUUGCAAAACCUUUUUGGCUCGGUGCGUGGCCCCAGAAUAGCAGCAGGUAUUGCAUGGCCAGGGGCCCGCGGCCGCGCUGCUCGGGGCUGGGAGCCCUCCCCCGGGACCUCUGUGGGCCCCCCCACCCCGCAGCGAGCACCCUUGGGUGCCCCUCGGACCCCAAAUCCCACGGGGUGGGGGGCGUCGGGGCCAGGUGGGUUUGGGGAGCGCCACGUGCCCUCACCAACCGGGCACGAGGAGCUCUGCGAUGGCUCUGGGGUGCUGAAAAAGUGGGGAAUUUGGCUUUUUUUAUUUUUUUCAAAUUUUUUUUGGCUCUGGGGAGCGCGCGGCCCCCCCCCCCCGAGGGGAGCGUGCCAGCGGCGCGGGGGCGAGCGCGGGGCCGCGAGCAUCUCCCUGUCGCUAAAUACGGCCACGCACCAGCUGGGGCUGCUGCACGGCUCAUUUCCAGCACCCAAAGAGGCUCUGGGAAAAAAAGGGGGGGGCUCAGGAGUGUGCCCCCCCCACCCAAUUUGGGUGCCAGGGUCCCCAUAACGCCCGGGGGUGCAUCCCGUGCCCGUCCCUGCCUCGGUUUCCCCUCCCUGCAGAGUUUUGGGGGGUGCUGGCCCUGCUUUGGCAGGGGUUUGGGGUAUGGGGUAACCCCCCAGGGGGGGUCUCAGCUCUCAGCCCCCCCAGAGCCUCGGUCACCUCCUGUCCCCAUGUCCCCAACGGCCCAGGCGGGUUUUGGAGGUGGCAGCAGGUGCCGGUGCCGGUGUCCCCUCCCCAAGUUCAUAACUCACUUUUUUUUUGGGGUGUUCCUGUAGGAAAAGACCUGGUGGGGAUCCCCCUUUUUUGGGAAUACCCCUUUUUUGGGAAUCCCCCGUUUUGGGGCUCCCCUUUUUGGGAUUCCCCUUUUUUGGGAUUCCCCUUUUUGGGGAUCCCUCUUUUUGGGGGUCCCCUCAGAGGGGUUCCUGGGGGGACUCGGCCCCGCGUGUCCCCACGUCCCGCAGCGCUGCCCCCAACCCCUUCCAUCCCCACCCCACACCUCGUCCCCGCAGGUCCCUCCUGGGUGCCACCCAUGGGUGCUGGGGCC